Molecule: long non-coding RNA, 1457 nt
Organism: Hevea brasiliensis (rubber tree)
Lineage: Eukaryota; Viridiplantae; Streptophyta; Magnoliopsida; Malpighiales; Euphorbiaceae
Exons: 2
Source: RefSeq, a predicted model, not a curated record
AAAUUAGUUUCUUCACCUCUUAGCAAAGUGACAUAAAGAAAUAAUUUCACCUUUAAUAAAAUUUUGAUAUUCUAAUUUAUUGACAUCAUUAGCAUCUGUAAUUUAUGAAAAUGCUCUGCAAUUUAUGAUAAACAGUAGCUUCCACCAUUCUAAAAUCCUUUUUAUUCACAUUCAUAUUCAAUUUCUUGCAUGGAUCAUGAAAUAUGUGUAUGCAUAUUCAACUUUUUUAAGCUAAAGUUUCAUCUCUAACAUGAUUUCCGUUCUUGAUGGAGUGUACUUAGUUUAUGUUUUCAGAAGAAGAAUUGUACUGCUGAUUCUUUAGCACAUUGAAACUUGUGGCAUUGAAAUUAAGGCUCUUAUGUGAAAUUGCAUUCUGCAGCUCAUUGUGUUCAAUUCUGGCCUGAUCCUCCAAAUGAGAUAUUGAGUUUCCUCACAGAAGAUGCAGUGGUAGUGACUCUGUGUUAACUCAGGUUUCGAGCCUAUUCGUGUGACUAUAAUUGAGUUUCCUCACAGAAGAUGCACUCUAAUUUGGUCUCUUUGGAAAAACAGGAACGAAGCGCUUUGGAAUUCUAAUCAGAUUACAAGCUCUGCUUCCUUCUUCCUGAAUCAGUGAUUAGCUGCCCAAGUUAGUGACCAUCCAUCCCAUUCUGACUACUCUUCGACAGUUUCUGUGGCUGAUUUGUUGAAAUGGCACAAGCCUGCUUCGGGAUUCUUGAAAUGCAAUACAGAUGCUUCCUCCCGUCCGCAUCAUAACAAAAUUGAGCAGGUUGGGUUCUUUGUGAUUGGUGAGGACAGCUGAUUAAGGCUUGCUAAUUGAGCUUCUUGGUCCAUCUGAUCCGAAAAUCACUGAAGCUCUCUCUCUCCAAGAAGCUCUUAGCUUGAUUGAUGGAAGGGGCAUGCAUAUCACCUAAUUUAUUAACUUAUUCAACCUUGAUUGAAUGCUGAUGCUGUUCCUUAUCCUGCACUUAUAGAUGCCCAGUGCAAGAAUUUAUAAGUGAAAUCUGCUGUGACUUUAUUUGAUGAGAUGACUAAGCAGGGAAUCAAGCCUCAUGUUGUCACUUAUAAGGCAACUCAAGAAAAUUACAGUGGCAAGCAGGAAAUUUUGUCCAUCUUAAAUGCUUGCAGUCGCUGAGAUUCCUUUGGAGAUGCUUCGAUUUUAUUGGAGGAGCUUUGAUUAUUUGAUUAUCAGGUGUAUGGCGUGGCAUACAUACUUGUAAGGGCUUUCGCGAUGUAAUUUUAGAGUCUGGUUCUUUGCUGUUGGUACAAGCUCUCCACUCCAAUCAGCAUGAUCUCUCUUAUUUUGAUUCUAUUGUCACUGAUUAUGAAUUUUCUUCUUAAUUAAUUCUGCUCUAUUUCUUCUACUGGUAAAUCAGUGAACACUGUUGUCCAUUGCUUAACACAUACAAUUUAUGGUACAAUUUAGUUUUUAGUCAAAUCUCCGGGAGUGAGGGCUUAAA